GCUAGCGUAGCUUAAUUAAAGCAUAACACUGAA
RNAcentral lists this transfer RNA (33 nucleotides) under Tetrapturus angustirostris (shortbill spearfish). Its description in RNAcentral is "partial tRNA-Phe". The record is from RNAcentral. Lineage: Eukaryota; Metazoa; Chordata; Actinopteri; Istiophoriformes; Istiophoridae.